GGGAAGGAGAUUUUGGAUUUGGUCGUUUUUGGGGGCGAAGCGGUUGCGGGAAAGGGAGGGGGAGGGUUCAUCUGGGUUGGGGGUGUGAAGGCGUCGCGGCCGGUGGUGGUUUGGGGGAGGGAAGGAGUAGGUUUGUGGUUGGCGGUGGUUGCGCGGUGGUGGGGCUGGGGUGGCUGGGGUAGUUUUAGGGUUUUUUAUUUUUUUUUUAUUUUAUUUUUAUUUUUUUAAAUUUUUUAUAAACAACUAAAAUGGUGACACCACUACUACAAAGUUGGGCUUAAGUAACACCUAUUAGUAACACUUUAAAAUUUUUAUUAUUGUUUGAUUUAUAGGUAACACUUUUGUAGCAUUAUGGUGUUAAGUAACAUUUAUUUGUAACACUUAAAUAUUAUGUAACACUUUAUGGUAACACUUUGAUAUUAGGUAGCAUUUGGGGGUAACAUUUAAAUUUUCUUAUAAUUUGUUUAUGUUUUUUAUUCGAAGAAAAACACUUAAUAUGAUAUUCUCAAUUUUUUUUUUGCAUAUUUGAAAUAAACCCAUAGUCACAACUUUCUUCGUCCCUCAAGCUUUCAGCUUUUCACCCCCUUCUUGCUCUCUCCACUGAAGCCCCCGUCCACCGUAGUCCGCAACCUAUCUCCAUCGCAACAGCCCGUACCAGCGUUUGAUACCUCUUGGCCUCCAUCUUCAACGACUUCCUCCUUUUAGUUAGGGUUACGGUUAGUUCAGACUGGGUGAUAUUACUUCAAUUUGCACCCUUCUUGCUUGGCACACCCUUGGUUAAGUGAUGAUUUCUCUUCCUCCAAUCGUCUUGAUCGUAACUCUGAGGGUAUAGCUGCUUGGAAGGCAGGAGCCACUACUUUCAAGAUGGAGGUCUUAAUCAUACUUAGGCUCUGUACUGGAACAGUAAGGAUCAGGGGGAAACUCAAGAGGAUGAAAGUGCUAGCUUCAAACACGAAAUAAAUUGUUCGUGUUGCUUCUAGUUAAGCUGUUCAAUCCCAGUUUGUGGACACGAAAAUAGUCUUAAAACACCAAAAAAAACAACACUUAGAUCAAGGGUUGCAAGGGGGAGAUUCAACGCAAAGAAAAAUCCAAUUAGGAAUGGAUUUGGAUAUGAUGUAGAUGACACAACAACAGAUUGGAACACCUGUCGACCAACAUCAAGAUAGAGUAGCAUAACAAUCUAAGAGGAAAGUCUAUAUCAGACUUCCAAACUGAGAUUAGGCAAGACUACUACAUAAAAAAAAAAUACACCAGUAUAUCAUUUCACAGUAAGGAAGGGGAGGAGGUUGAGAUUAGAAAUGGUGUCCAAACUUAGAUAGGGUAGAGUAAGGCAAUGGUGUUAUGCUGUUGUUACUGAUGUCAGUUGCUUAUACUGUUGUUUGUUGCUGCUACUACUGUCUGCUGCUGCUAUUUUCUACGACUACCAAUGUUUGCUGCUACUGCUGUCAUCUGGUAUUAAUGGCUGCUGGUACUGGUUAGCUGUUGUUUUCGCUAGCUAGCUGCGGCUAUGUGCUAUUAUUACUAUUGUUUGUUGCAUCCGCGCUGAUUGUAUGUUUGUAUAGAAAUUGGAGGUCUAAAGAGACUUAAGUUCACUUCUUUUCAUUUUGAUUAUUAGAUUGUUUAGCCAAUAAAAAAAAUUGGUGUUUAUGGAUGUUUUUUUUUGUAAGAAGUAUGAAAUAA
Chenopodium quinoa (quinoa) is the source of this 1680-nucleotide long non-coding RNA. RefSeq lists it as uncharacterized. The transcript has 4 exons. NCBI's taxonomy places the organism in Eukaryota, Viridiplantae, Streptophyta, Magnoliopsida, Caryophyllales, Amaranthaceae. The record is from RefSeq and is a predicted model, not a curated record.